CCUACGGGAGGCAGCAGUGGGGAAUAUUGCACAAUGGGGGAAACCCUGAUGCAGCGACGCCGCGUGAGUGAAGAAGUAAUUCGUUAUGGAAAGCUCUAUCAGCAGGGAAGAAAAUGACGGUACCUGAGUAAGAAGCCCCGGCUAACUACGUUCCAGCAGCCGCGGUAAUACGUAGGGGGCAAGCGUUAUCCGGAUGUACUGGGUGUAAAGGGAGCGUAGACGGCAGUGCAAGUCUGGAGUGAAAGGCGGGGGCUCAACCCUCGGACUGCAAUGGAAACUGUACGGCUGGAGUGCAGGAGAGGUAAGUGGAAUUCCUAGUGUAGCGGUGAAAUGCGUAGAUAUUAGGAGGAACACCAGUGGCGAAGGCGGCUUACUAGACUGUAACUGACGUUGAGGCUCGAAAGCGUGGGGAGCAAACAGGAUUAGAUACCCGAGUAGUC
RNAcentral lists this ribosomal RNA (440 nucleotides) under uncultured bacterium. Its description in RNAcentral is "partial 16S ribosomal RNA". It matches the Rfam family "Bacterial small subunit ribosomal RNA", at positions 338 to 795 of the family's 1533-position model. The record is from RNAcentral.